UUAACUAUGCAUUUGAUGACAUCAAAAUGGUGGGGUUAGCCUUCCGAUUUUAAUUAAACUUGAAAUAACAACUAAGUUCUAGUUUUUGAUAGAUAGAUAGAUAGAUAGAUAGAUAGAUAGAUAGAUAGAUAGAUAGAUAGAUAGAUAGAUAGAUAGACAGACAGACAGACAGACAGAUAGAUAGAAAGUUUAUUCGAACUUCCAUGGCAGCAUACACUGAAUUGCAGAAGUUUUACAAUUUUAAAAACAACUUUGCAUGGCUCAUAUGCCCAUAAGAAUUAGAAGACAAUGGCAUUGGCGGCCAUGUUGGUGCCAAAUUCAAAAGAAGUUAAUGAGAUUCUUUUGUUGAAAGGAGACCAACAUGGCCGUCGCCCACAUCAUUGCAAGUCAAGAAUUCAAAAUCCCUGGUAGUCGUGACUCCACCAUGCAAUAUGCAAAUCCUGAAUAAUCCAAGAUGGCGGCCGAAACAAGAUAUAAAAAACCCGUAAAAUUUCUUUA
Paramuricea clavata is the source of this 498-nucleotide non-coding RNA. NCBI's taxonomy places the organism in Eukaryota, Metazoa, Cnidaria, Anthozoa, Malacalcyonacea, Plexauridae. The record is from the annotation of a GenBank genome assembly.